GUGGGUAGUUUGACUGGGGCGGUCUCCUCCUAAAGAGUAACGGAGGAGCACGAAGGUUAGCUAAUCCUGGUCGGACAUCAGGAGGUUAGUGCAAAGGCAUAAGCUAGCUUGACUGCGAGAGUGACGGCUCGAGCAGGUGCGAAAGCAGGUCUUAGUGAUCCGGUGGUUCUGAAUGGAAGGGCCAUCGCUCAACGGAUAAAAGGUACUCCGGGGAUAACAGGCUGAUACCGCCCAAGAGUUCAUAUCGACGGCGGUGUUUGGCACCUCGAUGUCGGCUCAUCACAUCCUGGGGCUGAAGUAGGUCCCAAGGGUAUGGCUGUUCGCCAUUUAAAGUGGUACGCGAGCUGGGUUUAGAACGUCGUGAGACAGUUCGGUCCCUAUCUGCCGUGGGCGCUGGAGAAUUGAGGGGGGCUGCUCCUAGUACGAGAGGACCGGAGUGGACGCAUCACUGGUGUUCGGGUUGUCAUGCCAAUGGCAUUGCCCGGUAGCUAAAUGCGGAAGAGAUAAGUGCUGAAAGCAUCUAAGCACGAAACUUGCCCCGAGAUGAGUUCUCCCUGAGACUUUAAGUCUCCUGAAGGAACGUU
Molecule: ribosomal RNA, 584 nt
Filed under: Citrobacter freundii
Lineage: Bacteria; Pseudomonadati; Pseudomonadota; Gammaproteobacteria; Enterobacterales; Enterobacteriaceae
Description: partial 23S ribosomal RNA
Rfam family: Bacterial large subunit ribosomal RNA
Source: RNAcentral